AUUGAACGCUGGCGGCAUGCUUUACACAUGCAAGUCGAACGGUAACAGGCCGCAAGGUGCUGACGAGUGGCGAACGGGUGAGUAAUGCAUCGGAACGUGCCCAGUCGUGGGGGAUAACUACUCGAAAGAGUAGCUAAUACCGCAUACGAUCUAUGGAUGACAGCGGGGGACCGUAAGGCCUCGCGCGAUUGGAGCGGCCGAUGUCAGAUUAGGUAGUUGGUGGGGUAAAGGCUCACCAAGCCAACGAUCUGUAGCUGGUCUGAGAGGACGACCAGCCACACUGGGACUGAGACACGGCCCAGACUCCUACGGGAGGCAGCAGUGGGGAAUUUUGGACAAUGGGCGCAGGCCUGAUCCAGCAAUGCCGCGUGCAGGAAGAAGGCCUUCGGGUUGUAAACUGCUUUUGUACGGAACGAAACGGCUCUGGUUAAUACCCGGGGCUAAUGACGGUACCGUAAGAAUAAGCACCGGCUAACUACGUG
This 482-nucleotide ribosomal RNA is filed under the name uncultured bacterium. RNAcentral describes it as "partial 16S ribosomal RNA". It matches the Rfam family "Bacterial small subunit ribosomal RNA", at positions 30 to 507 of the family's 1533-position model. The record is from RNAcentral.